RNAcentral lists this long non-coding RNA (860 nucleotides) under Rattus norvegicus (Norway rat). RNAcentral describes it as "long non-coding RNA NONRATT018061". Lineage: Eukaryota; Metazoa; Chordata; Mammalia; Rodentia; Muridae. The record is from RNAcentral.
GCUGGAUCUGGACAAGUAUAUGGAGAUAGCGCGGCAGUGCAAGUACCUUCUCGUGAACAACCUGAAGGUGAGCCGGGCCGGAGGCCGUCCAGCUUGCGAGGCAAGCGCCCUCCGGCUGUGAGGCUCCCUACGGGCGCCCGAUCCUGUCGCGGCGGAGGGCACUCCGCGGUGUGAGAGAACCGGGUCGGACGCGGCGUGACGCGGAGAACCAGGGGAACCCGAAUUCCCCGAAUGCUGUCCAGUUUUCUGAGGGGAGAUCCGGGGAAUGUCACGAUCCCCUGGUCCCCACGGGACUCCGAGCUUACAGACUCAUUCUAAUUCGCUCGGUCUCCCGGAGACGGAGCCCAGCGGCUAGGGUAGUGCUCCCGGGAUGGGUCCUCCCUGCAGAGGUAACAGGAGCUGCUGUCUGCUCCAGGGACGCGCGCGGCCCGUGUGUGCUUAAGUUCCUGAGAGGUGGGAAGCCGGUGGGCGGGAAUCGAUGCUACCACAAUGGGAGAGAAUGACAAGUCGCCUCUGCUUCACCACUCCCCUAAAUUGCUUCCUAGGAGUGGAAUUUUUUCCUGAUAGAUUGGAUCCUAUUUCUUAGCACGUCGCUGAGCUAUUUAAAUAAGCAGUUGCUUAUCAAGAAGUUCUGAGCUAUCCCCCUUGUAACUCAAGGUGUCAUUUUCUUCGCUUUCCAAAGUAGGUCUCACUCAGUUAAAGUAGCCUGGCGGCGGUGGCACACGUCUUUAAUUUCAAGAGUCAGCAGGCGUAUCUAAACUACAGAUGAGUUCCAGGACAGCCAAGGCUAUACAUAGAAACCCUGUCUCAAAACCCCACCUUCCCGAAAGAAAAAGACAAAAUAAAACGAGUGUUAAAGG